This 133-nucleotide ribosomal RNA is filed under the name uncultured bacterium. RNAcentral describes it as "partial 16S ribosomal RNA". The record is from RNAcentral.
CAAGUACAGUCAUCGAACAGCCAUUUCCUGCUGCCCUUAUUCUUCCUUGCUGAAAGAGCUUUACAACCCGAAGGCCUUCAUCACUCACGCGGGAUUGCUCCGUCAGGCUUUCGCCCAUUGCGGAAUAUUCUUA